Molecule: ribosomal RNA, 480 nt
Filed under: uncultured bacterium
Lineage: Bacteria
Description: bacterial SSU rRNA
Rfam family: Bacterial small subunit ribosomal RNA
Source: RNAcentral
CCGCGUGAGCGAUGAAGGCCUUAGGGUUGUAAAGCUCUGUUUUAGGGGACGAAUGUUACAGGGAGUAAUAUGUCCUGUAAAUGACGGUACCCUAAGAGGAAGCCCCGGCUAACUACGUGCCAGCGGCCGCGGUAAGACGUAGGGGGCGAGCGUUGUCCGGAAUUACUGGGCGUAAAGAGCACGUAGGCGGAGACUUAAGUCAGGUGUGAAAGACCGGGGCUCAACCCCGGGGUGGCACUUGAAACUGGGUCCCUUGAGGGCAGGAGAGGGCAGUAGAAUUCCUGGUGUAGCGGUGAAAUGCGUAGAAAUCAGGAGGAAUACCAGUGGCGUAGCGACUGCCUGGACUGACCCUGACGCUGAGGUGCGAAAGCGUGGGUAGCAAACAGGAUUAGAUACCCUGGUAGUCCACGCCGUAAACGAUGGAUACUAGGUGUGGGAGGUAUCGACCCCUUCCGUGCCGCAGCUAACGCAAUAAGUAUC